ACAGGACCCCCACCUUCGCUCCUGGGAGCCCCGCUGCACCCCAGGAGUUCCAUUCCAGCCUCCCCAGUGCGAGUGCGGCCGAGCGCUGACUUUUGGGGGCUCCCUCCCCCGUCUCACUGGGUCCCUCUGCGGCUCCCCCGCCCGCUGUCCCGGUUCAGACGUGGCUGCACCCCGGAGGGGGGCGCCGGCCGAGACCUGAGACGUGGCGCUCCCUCUCUGCCGGCCUCGGCUUCAGGUACGUGCGGUUCCCUCGGCUAAAUCUGGCCCGGGGGAUGGGGGGCAGGGGCCGUCUGGUCCUCCGGAACUCGAACUUUGUGAUUUUGUUCUUUCUGUGUGACAUCCUCAUCCGUUCUGAGGGAGAAACUCCUUAAAGAAGACGAGAGAGUCAGUCGUUGCGGGUUCUUGGAGGAGCACUUUGGGGGUGAGACUCCCGGCUAGUUCGGGUCGAUUUCAGCGGGAUUAAGUCAAGGAAAUGAACAAAUCUGACGAAUCAGGGAGGCCAGAGAAGGCGUCCCCAGGUAGCCACGCUGAGCGUUAAGAGAGAAGUCCCGUAUGGUCAAAGUCAUUCGUCCAAUUCUGUGUCAAUUAUUCCUUGUUGCACUUUUGCAGGAUCCUUGGGCCUUACUAAGUACUCAGGUGAAAAGUUGAUAAUUGGGAAGCAAGUAAAGUACCUUUGAAGACGUGUAUAAUUGGACACUUUGUUGCAGUUCUUCAGUUUCUGGAGGAGGCGGUGGGGGGGGAGAGGGAGGGGGUCAGCCUCGCGAAAAGAGCAAAUGGUAAAGUUAUAGGAGUAUAAGGCAUAAAACUUGGGUUGGGAGUCCUGACUGGCCUUGAGUGGCCCUUUCCCACUGGAUGGGGGUGCGGGACAGUAUCUCUGGGCCCUUUUUACUCAGUCUGCGCCUCAGAGGGAGGCUUGAAGGUCCCCUGCAUGAGGAAAUGUGUGAAUUGCCCCCUCCUGACCGCAGUGAGGUAGGGACCCCCGCAAGGACCCACGUUCACACCAGCGCCCUUCCAGCCAGUGGUGGGGUAUGGAUGGGCCUCGCUGGUCCUGGGCAUGGUCCGGUGCGUCCAUAAGGGUUCCAUUGAGCUCAUCCAUAAAACAAAGAAGCUAUUGCAGGCUGCAGGGUGUCAUAGCUCGCACAGUAGCCAUGCAGACCUAAGAGGACAAUGGAAAUACAAAUUGCUAUCGAUGUGUCUUUAUUUUCUAGAACUUUUUUUUAAAAUAAAAGAAUUAAGUGAAAGCAAUUCCGAAGGUUUCUAUGAAAGCCCAGCCCAUCCCCAAAUGCCCAGUCUCUGGCACGGGUGAUCUGGCUGUCUUGGGUACUCAGGCCUUACUGGGAUUUCCUUUAAGACCUCUGGGAGGAAGUGUCAGUAGCUGGGCAGGCCUUCUUGGCAAGCAUUCCUCCCUGGGUUGUGGCGGGGGCUCCCGGCCUGCUGUGUGGCAGCUGCAGGCUCCUGGGGACCUGAAGGAAAAGCUUAACCGUUCUCCCUUCCCUUGCUUGGCACUUAGAGCACUAGUUCCAUUCCAGACAUUCCGAUUAUCUUGCCUACGUGGCACAGAGGCCUAGGAGCCUCCCUGGGAGGAAGAGGCAGGCCAAGGUCUUGCCUGGCUGCUUCUAGGGGGAAAGAUGUAGGGAGGAAGCUGCCUUAUGCUUGGAUCUGCAGCCUUUGCCUGGACCUGUGGAGCCUACGUGGCCAGGGUGAGGGAGACAGAAAUUAGAACCCAAUGUAUUCAGCUAAUCCUCUUCUUGCCUCUGAACAUUGCCGUUAAUACUUGAAAAGAAAAAAAAAAAGCAAAAAAACUCUUGGCAUAUAGAGCUAAGCAGUGGGAAGAAGAUAGCUUUCUAAACCAUGACCCAAUAGGUCUGAUAACAUAACAUUUAACUGGAUAAAUUACAUAAUUUUGUAUAUAUGUAGGGGGGAGUUGAAUUCAGUUUUGCUGUUUACAGGCUGCACCAAUGCAUUGUUAAAAGAUGUAUAUUUUAGUGAUAAUUGUGAUUAAUUACAAAAUAAUUGCUAAUAAGCAGGUAAAUAAACCAAAUUAUAAUUUAGAGUGCAUCCUUUGUUUAAAGUGAAAUGGAUCUAAAUUGAGGAUAUAAUUUUGAGUUUUAAUCUGGGGAAAGUUCUUUAACUUUUCUGAGCUACAGUCUCUUCACCUGGAGCUUAGACACACCAGCCUGGCAGGGGUAUGUCAGCUGUCUGCUUGAAAGGAGAAAGACAGUAAUCUGUGUGAAAUACUCACCGAGCACCCAACAUAUAAGCAGGCUCUUCAUAAAGUCAUUUUGAGGUAUCCACAAGUAUUUCUUUUUUCUAAACAAAAUUUCUUUGUUUUUUGUUUGUUUUGCUUUGCAAAGGUCUUGCUUGCUAGAAAGCUAUCUGCAUUAAGCUGCUUCUCAUCACAUUAUAAAACUAAGGAUGAUCAUUUUUAAACAAACAAAAGUAUUUAGUUAUCUUUUCAAAGUAAAAUAUAGCUUUCCCUAAACUGUUUUAGGUGAGCCAUGCACACAAUGUGAAAGAAUGAAGAAACCAACAAAACACUUGGUGAAAAUGAUGAAUUCUGGGGCGCUGAUUCAUGUGACUUGAAAAAUGCCAUCCAUUUCCUGAUUCACCUCAAUUCUGUUCGGAACUAUGAAAGAUCAUUUAUGUUUCUGCACUAAUUGACCAAUUUUGUCUUGUCUUUACUUCCCUCCCUAGUGCUUGAAUUUCAGCCACAUCCCUAAGCUGCCAUCUCAGACCAGAGGAACAGGGAGGGGGGCUUUCUGGAAAGAACAUCACCUGGAAGAAAUCAGGACAUGACUGUGGGCCAUGAGUGACCUUCAAAGGAAAGCCGGGUAUCUGUGGUCUUUAAGAUGUGAUCCAUGACAUUUAAAAACUGAAGAAAUGGAAAGAUCAUCUGAUCAGGCCCAUCAGUCUUUUUCCUAAUGCUAAACAUUGGUACAAAGACGUGAAGUUUGAUGUCUCACUAAGAUUGCCUAGGGCUGCUUUAUUGCUCACCUACUUCAAAGUAUUGGGAAAACAUGAUUAUGGGUACAGGUGAUGCUGUGUUGCCCCCAGACAGGUUUCUUUUGUCAGGUUCUUUUGAUGGAUUAGGAACCUACAAGUGGGGAGAUUUUAGGGAAAUAGCCCCUCCACUUGGAUUUCACCAAAACGUCUUUAGGGUUCUCUUACCCCAAGAAACACGCAUUCCUCUUUAGUGUGGCAGCCCACUCUAUUGGCAAAGUUAAGCAGACCAGUUUUACUAAAAAGGAGCCACCCAGAAACUUAGACAGAAAAUACUUGAGGCACAGAUGAGAAUGAGCACAAAUGUGCAUAGCAAGUGCAGUUUCCUGGCCCUUAAACUGAAGGGCCAGGUCAGUCUGCUCCUCCAGGCACAGCCUGGGACCCCAUCAUGUGCCCCACUCUGCAGUCUGAGCUUCCACUCAAGUCCACCAGGGCCUGCCUCACAUAUAUAUACAAGACCCAAUGUCAGAGUCUGCCUCUGCCCAUGUCUGGUCAGAGGGUUGCACUUUGCCACUGCUACAUGUUCCCAGAGGUUGGCACAGCAUGACCUGGACCUCACCUAACCCAGGCAAACUCUGCUCAUCUUCGAGCUCUCUGGAACCCAUUUCUCAAGGGAGAACCACAUUCCCCCACCUCACAGCCAAGUUCAAGGAAGCAGCCUGGCUAAAGCAAUGACUCAAGGAUACCAGAAGCAGAGCACGCAUUUAAGAAGAUGCGCUGACUCGCAGGAGCAGCUGACUCUUCUUAAGAAGAGUUUACUGAUUCUUCUUUCAGUACGGGCCUUUUAAUAAGAUAUUGUAUUUUACUUCAGCUAUGGGUGCAGACAAUUAAAGGAUUCUAGAAAUCU
RNAcentral lists this long non-coding RNA (3847 nucleotides) under Homo sapiens (human). RNAcentral's name for it is "HSALNT0325127". The stretch from base 2541 to 2610 matches the Rfam family "Small nucleolar RNA SNORD123". The record is from RNAcentral. Lineage: Eukaryota; Metazoa; Chordata; Mammalia; Primates; Hominidae.